UAUUUACUCAAGACUGCUGGGUUUA
This 25-nucleotide non-coding RNA is filed under the name Rattus norvegicus (Norway rat). The record is from RNAcentral. Lineage: Eukaryota; Metazoa; Chordata; Mammalia; Rodentia; Muridae.